RNAcentral lists this ribosomal RNA (258 nucleotides) under uncultured bacterium. Its description in RNAcentral is "partial 16S ribosomal RNA". It matches the Rfam family "Bacterial small subunit ribosomal RNA", at positions 793 to 1055 of the family's 1533-position model. The record is from RNAcentral.
GUCCACGCCGUAAACGAUGGGCGCUAGGUGUGGGGUGUCGACUCCCUCCGUGCCGAAGCUAACGCAUUAAGCGCCCCGCCUGGGGAGUACGGCCGCAAGGCUAAAACUCAAAGGAAUUGACGGGGACCCGCACAAGCAGCGGAGCAUGUGGUUUAAUUCGACGCAACGCGAAGAACCUUACCUAGGCUUGACAUGUUGGUGACAAAACGUGGAAACACGUCUUCUUCGGACACCAUCACAGGUGUGCAUGGCUGUCGU